UUUAUAUAGGAUUUGAAUAAGAUUUGAUUAGAAUUUAUUUAGGAUUUGUUUAGAAUUUUUUUAAGAUUUAUCUAGGAUUUGACUAGGAUUUGUCUAGAAUAUGAUUAAAAUUUGUUUAAGAUUUAUUUAGGAUUUGUCUAGGAUUUGCCUAAGAUUUGUUUAGAAUUUGAUUAGAAUUAGACUAUGAUUUGUUUAAGAUUUGAUUAGAAUUUAUCUAAGAUUUUUUUAGGAUUUUUUUAGUAUUUGAUUAGGAUUUGUCUAGGAUAUUUUUAGUAUUUGAUUAAAAUUUAAUUAGGAUUUGAUUUAGGAUUUAUUUGUAUUUUUUUAUUAUUUAUUUUAAAAUUAAAU
Molecule: long non-coding RNA, 348 nt
Filed under: Physcomitrium patens
Lineage: Eukaryota; Viridiplantae; Streptophyta; Bryopsida; Funariales; Funariaceae
Description: long non-coding RNA (PPAT_LNC002880)
Source: RNAcentral